AGUGAACAGGAUGUUACCCUUAAGGUGCUUCAGAGAGCAAGUAUGUUACAGAUCUUUUCCACACAUACAUAAGGCAGCUUGAAUUUCUGGUAAUUGUGAGGGCUUGACUCUUGCAAUGAUUUCCAACAGACCCCUGGUGACUUUUGGGCUUUGUGAAGAUCAUUCCUGUGAUAUACUCAACCUGGAAGAAAAUUUUAUAGUGAAAAUUUAUGGGCGAAGACAUAAAGCUGCAACCUAAGCAGAUGGCCUGAUUUUCAUGAUUCCUUCUGAAAGGUGUCAAUCAUUUCAUGAGAUAAACACAGAAGAUAACAUUUAUGCUAGAAUAUUCUGCCACCUGCAGGAAUGGGAGAUAAGUCCAGGACGGCUUGAAUGGGCGCAGGAAUCACAGACAGAGGAAGCAUCUCUGCGUAAUUGAGACUGAGGCAUAUCGCGUGCCGGCGGAGAUGGAGACAGAAGAAACUGCAAGUGGACUUUGAAGAGCUGAGGUGGGGAGUGGGGUCGGCUUCAGCAAGGUUGGCAGGGGAACACGUUUUUAGAAGAUACACACACAAGUUCAAGUGAAAUAGGUGUUGAAUAGAAAGUAUAAACUUAUCAAAUGCACAGUGUCACCGUAUUUCUCGCAGAAACCAGUUGGUGACCUACUUGAUGUGGAGCUUAGUCAAUUGCCAUGGGCAAGGCGGCACUGGCCCUGGGUGACAGACUCUCUGGAGAGCUGUGGCCACUGAGCGUGAGCAAGAUCAACCCACUGCCCAGGGCUAAGUGCUAGCGGGAUUUAAUUCUCACCCACUUCACUCCCGCUGGUAGAUGAUGGCGGCGCUGAGUGCAGAUGUUGUGGGUGCACAUCUGCUCCGGGACCAAUCAGGGAAGAAUGAAAAAGAAGGUAUCUGAGAGAGGACGAUGGCUGACCCUGGACAAGACAGAGUGGGGGACAACAGUUUGCUUGGAGAUCGUAGUUGAACAAGAUGCAGGCCUGAGAGGUACAAGGCAAAAGACAAUAGAAAGCAAUCGUGUGCAGCUGGAAGUUAGAACUUACAUCAGAGAAUGUUGAGAAAUCAGGGGGAAAGGGUUGGUUUGAGUCAAAUUUUAGAAUUCUACAUUUUUUGCAACUUGGACUUAAUUUGCAGAACAGUGGGGAGCCACUAUGUUUCUGAGUAGGGAAAUGAGUGCAUUGUAAGAAAAUGUCUAGCACGGGCAUCUGGGUGACUAUUGGUGAAGCCUCUUGCCUUUGGCUUAGGUCAUGAUUCCAGGGUCCUGGGAUCAAGACCCACAGCCGGCUUGUUG
Molecule: long non-coding RNA, 1281 nt
Organism: Mustela erminea (ermine)
Lineage: Eukaryota; Metazoa; Chordata; Mammalia; Carnivora; Mustelidae
Exons: 4
Source: RefSeq, a predicted model, not a curated record